Molecule: ribosomal RNA, 108 nt
Filed under: Parakeelya granulifera
Lineage: Eukaryota; Viridiplantae; Streptophyta; Magnoliopsida; Caryophyllales; Montiaceae
Description: Calandrinia granulifera 4.5S ribosomal RNA
Source: RNAcentral
AAAGGUCACGGCGAGACGAGCCGUUUAGUUUAUUAUUACGAUAGGUGUCAAGUGGAAGUGCAGUGAUGUAUGCAGCUGAGGCAUCCUAACAGACCGAACGACUUGAAC